RNAcentral lists this small RNA (75 nucleotides) under unclassified sequences. RNAcentral's name for it is "dfrA-dnaX RNA". It matches the Rfam family "dfrA-dnaX RNA". The record is from Rfam by way of RNAcentral.
AUGCCUUAUGGUAAAUAUAUUUUAAUUUCAUCAUAACUACCUUAAAAAAUAAUCAAAAAGGAGUUAUGAUAUAAU